UCAGUAGGCUGAUGAAUUGAAAUUCAGAGGACUAGUACUUGCUUUCUCAAUUCUUUUCAUUCGUUGACUAGAGCUCGUAUAGGAAACAACAUUUAAAUUUAACAUAGAAAUUCACUUGAUAAUAUAUAAUUUUUAACCAGCAGGCGGCAGUAAACAAUUUUUACGACCUUUGAGUUGAAUUCGGAAUUUUCAUCAUUCUCAUUUCAGCUCUUCAACUGCAAAACACAACAAAACUUUUAAGAAAUUUGUAACAAAUUCUUCAUUCUUCAAAAGACGUUAGUUUAAAAAAUUUCGAACUCUAAAAAAAAAUUAUUUGAUUUUCGAUUUAUUUCUUAACACUUUAGUUUCUAAAGAGCUCUCACAGACAAUAACAAAACCUAACAAGGAAAAUUUAAUUUCAUAAUGGCUGAAGCACCAGCUACUCCGGCAGAAGCAGCACCUGCACCAGCAACAACUACUGCUGGAGCGGAUAUGUUCGAGGGCAACGCUUGGCUAACUGCAGGCGCAGUUAUGAUGUACUCCACUUGGGCUAUGUGGGUCAAGCUGCGAAAUUUGAAAAUUACGUCGAAGACCGAAGACGAAUCGAUCGAGAACGAAUCGAUCGAAAGUAAAUCUAUAGAAAAUGAAUCUAUCGAGUUGCGCCUUGAGGGUCAAGCUACGAAAGAUGACGAGCAAUAUUUCGUGGCUGAAAAUGCACGAUCCCUAGGGCGUUGAGAAAGAAAUGGAUGAGGACACGGAUACAAAUUGUUAUUAGGCGUUGAUUUGCAUAUGGUUUAAAUUCAAUUGAUUCCAAAUUUUAAAAUUGUUUCUGCUUCGAUUUCAAGUGAAUUUGGUUCAAAUGCGAAAAUAAAAGGAAUGGCGCAGCAAAAAAUAAAAACGUAAUAUAAAAUCAGGACGAGGUGGGUCUUUCCCCCCUCUAAAUUAUGGCGUCUUAAACUAUACAUGGUCGCUGGGUUCAGGCGUCAAAAGCCGUUA
Molecule: long non-coding RNA, 975 nt
Organism: Drosophila montana
Lineage: Eukaryota; Metazoa; Arthropoda; Insecta; Diptera; Drosophilidae
Exons: 4
Source: RefSeq, a predicted model, not a curated record